This 149-nucleotide small RNA is filed under the name Shigella boydii CDC 3083-94. RNAcentral describes it as "Short Intergenic Abundant RNA". It matches the Rfam family "Short Intergenic Abundant RNA". From Rfam's summary of the family: This family contains multiple ncRNA from E. coli that were identified in a large scale screen of E. coli, were they were called candidates 43,55 and 61. Lineage: Bacteria; Pseudomonadati; Pseudomonadota; Gammaproteobacteria; Enterobacterales; Enterobacteriaceae. The record is from Rfam by way of RNAcentral.
UUGACACUAAGGGCGGAGUGACAUAAUUUCAGGAGUGAGGGUUAGGGAGAGGUUUCCCCCUCCCCCUGGGGUUCUUAGUAAGCCUGGAAGCUAAUCACUAAGAGUAUCACCAGUAUGAUGACGUGCUUCAUCAUACCCCUUUCCUUAUU